AUAAAGAUGGCAGAGAAAAUGUAUUAGGUUUAAGCCCUAAAGACGAAGAUUAAUUCUUUUCUUUAUA
RNAcentral lists this transfer RNA (67 nucleotides) under Korotnewia korotnewi. RNAcentral describes it as "tRNA-Leu". It matches the Rfam family "tRNA". Rfam says of the family: Transfer RNA (tRNA) molecules are approximately 80 nucleotides in length. The record is from RNAcentral. Lineage: Eukaryota; Metazoa; Mollusca; Gastropoda; Littorinimorpha; Baicaliidae.